RNAcentral lists this ribosomal RNA (426 nucleotides) under Triticum aestivum (bread wheat). RNAcentral describes it as "partial small subunit ribosomal RNA". The record is from RNAcentral. Lineage: Eukaryota; Viridiplantae; Streptophyta; Magnoliopsida; Poales; Poaceae.
AUGGAUACCGGUCACAUGGAUCGUGGAUGCUGCAUCGCAGCGAGCAAUCCUGCCGCCUGGAGCUGGACGAUGGAGCGCUGGAAAGUUGUGGGUGCGGCUGCUUGGGCUUGGCCGGCGCCCAUGGGGCUCGGUCGACCGUUCGAUGGCCGCAGGUUCGUCUGGAAUGUUUGCCUCGAGAGAUAUGAUGAAGCGGUUGAACGAACGACUGAGAGAAGGAACCUGGGUCUCAGUAGCUCCUGUGGCGACAUUGCACGCUUCGGCUUGGUUCUUCAGGGUGUUUUAUCUCGGCCCCGCCGCGUUCAGCUUGUGUCGGCCAAACUAGUGUUUUGGCCAAUCGAUCAAGUGCAUUUGCCUCACGAGGUGACCUUGGCGACACCUUAUCUUAUUCUAGGAUUCUGGUGGAUUUUGGCCCAGUGGAAUGCCUGA